This 492-nucleotide ribosomal RNA is filed under the name uncultured bacterium. RNAcentral's name for it is "partial 16S ribosomal RNA". It matches the Rfam family "Bacterial small subunit ribosomal RNA", at positions 29 to 507 of the family's 1533-position model. The record is from RNAcentral.
AGUGAACGCUGGCGGUAGGCCUAACACGUGCAAGUCGAACGGCAGCACAGUAAGAGCUUGCUCUUACGGGUGGCGAGUGGCGGACGGGUGAGGAAUACAUCGGAAUCUACUUUUUCGUGGGGGAUAACGUAGGGAAACUUACGCUAAUACCGCAUACGACCUACGGGUGAAAGCAGGGGAUCUUCGGACCUUGCGCGAUUGAAUGAGCCGAUGUCGGAUUAGCUAGUUGGCGGGGUAAAGGCCCACCAAGGCGACGAUCCGUAGCUGGUCUGAGAGGAUGAUCAGCCACACUGGAACUGAGACACGGUCCAGACUCCUACGGGAGGCAGCAGUGGGGAAUAUUGGACAAUGGGCGCAAGCCUGAUCCAGCCAUACCGCGUGGGUGAAGAAGGCCUUCGGGUUGUAAAGCCCUUUUGUUGGGAAAGAAAAGCAGCAGGUUAAUACCCCGCUGUUCUGACGGUACCCAAAGAAUAAGCUCCGGCUAACUUCGUG